AUAUGAAACAUUUUUUGCAAAAGUUGGUCUCACAGUUGAUGGACUGCUGUGUAGAUAUAAAAUCCAAAGAGGAGGAAAGUGUUCAGGUCACCCAAAGAAAGACACAUUAUUCAAUGGAUUCACUUUCCAGUUGGUAUAUGACUGUCACACAGAAGACGGACCCAAAAAUGCUAAGCAAAAAAAGGACUACUUCUAGCCAAUGGCAGUCUCCUCCUGUUGUCGUUAUCUUGAAGGAUAUGGAAAGCUUUGCCACAAAAGUACUACAAGACUUCAUAAUUAUCAGCAGGUAGAUGGUGUAUCACCUGGCUUUUAUGAAAAACUCCCGUUUUAAGAAAAUAUUACUUUUAACUUGAAAAGUAAUAUUGAAGAUUAUUGAAAAGAUUAUUGAAAAGAUUAUUGAAAAGAUUAUUGAAAAAUAAUCUUCAUUUUAAUACCAACUGGAUAAAAAUCAAAGUAUUCAAAUUCUUUAUAAUUGAAUAUUCAAAGACUUCUUAUCAGAUUUUCCAUUUGCUUUUUGAGCCAGGAAUGAGAAUCAAAGGCACAUUUAGCCAGUUUUAAAUUGACAUGGUAAGAUAGUAUUAAAUAUGGUUUAUCUCACCAAGAUUGACUGUCUCUUACUCACCCAUUAAAUAGAUAAACUACUCC
RNAcentral lists this small RNA (645 nucleotides) under Pongo abelii (Sumatran orangutan). Its description in RNAcentral is "processed transcript". Lineage: Eukaryota; Metazoa; Chordata; Mammalia; Primates; Hominidae. The record is from RNAcentral.